Molecule: microRNA, 18 nt
Filed under: Corchorus capsularis
Lineage: Eukaryota; Viridiplantae; Streptophyta; Magnoliopsida; Malvales; Malvaceae
Description: sRNA CCACVL1_20450
Source: RNAcentral
UAUUGUCAACUCUGCUUU